UCUAAGCCGAUACACAAACAAAACUCUUUCGGCGAGUGAGCGUUUUGCUAGUUGGCCAAUGCGCAGCGUGUCGAAAGGACUGCGUAGACAACAGCCAAACAGAACCGGACUCUUUAGCGGUAAAGGACAGCGAUAAAUGUAAUGCUUCCAUGACAUCGGGAUCACAAAAACGCGCUACAACUUGACGAUAGCAGCGGUAUUUCUUUCGCUAGUACUUGAAAGUUUAAUAGGAAUGUGGCCAGGACAAAUGAUUUCUUAAGGUCCCCGCUGGUUCUUUGCAAGUGAAACAUCAGUCAUGUUGAUGGACUUGAAGUCGUUCGGUGCUGAGUGGAUCUAUGUUUCGAGAUGACGGAUAGCUACGGUACGGGUUAUCUGGUUCAGAUCAGUUCUUUGGUAAAUAAACUCGGUCUUUUUCUUCCCACGCCCGCCCGUGGUUUCGUUUCCACUCAAAAGUUUGGAAUUCCGAGUGAAGACAAAGACAUCACCGCAAAGUACGUAAGUAAGUAUUGUUCUCUUCCUGGAUUGGUUGGAAGGACCCUGGACCCGGGAAGAACGUUUGCUUACGUGGACUAACGAGUGAAGCAGUGCCACCGAAGGCAAGUUUUGAUUGCGGUCUUGCUCAAAGAAGACUCACAGAUGAUAUGCUAAACCCGAGACUCAAGUACUGCAUGGAGUCACCGUUAGGCCGUAAAGGGACAAAACUGAUCGCUUCGUUUGCCGGAUUGGAUCGUGGUCUAAUUUGAACUUCAGUUGAGUUUGUUUGCAGCCACGCCCGCGCACAAGCGUGAAAACUCACUCAAGGCUGUGAGGAUCGAAUUGUUGACUCUCUUCUAACUCCCAGGUGCAGCAGAACGGUGGCGAAACCCUGCUUACAUAAGAAUUGGACUCAAAGAAGUACAGUGGUCUGCGAUUGGCUGGCAACCAGUUCAGGGUGUACCCCGCCUCCUGCCCGUUGACAGCCUGGGAUAGGUUCCAGCACUCCCCGCGACCCUCGUGAGGAUAAGCUGUGAAGAAAAUGGAUGGAUGAAUGGAUGGAAGUACUGUGAUCUACCCUGCGGCUGGAAAUGUGUAACGACACGGAUGGGAACAUGGAUUAUUGGUCGCUCCCAGUAAAGAAUGGUCUGGUCUGUUUACCAACACUGAUCACAGCACCCCCUCCCCUGUGACCCUUGUGAGGAUAAGCGUCAAAAGAAAAUGGAUAGAUGUAUCAUAAGUUAAAUACACCUGAACUGUACUUGACAAAUGUAGUCUAAUGUAUUAAAGAGGUUUA
Long non-coding RNA from Syngnathoides biaculeatus (alligator pipefish), 1270 nucleotides. RefSeq lists it as uncharacterized. Lineage: Eukaryota; Metazoa; Chordata; Actinopteri; Syngnathiformes; Syngnathidae. The record is from RefSeq and is a predicted model, not a curated record. The transcript has 4 exons.